GCUUACGGCCACACCACCCUGAGCGCGCCCGAUCUCGUCUGAUCUCGGAAGCUAAGCAGGGUCGGGCCUGGUUAGUACUUGGAUGGGAGACGCCUGGGAAUACCAGGUGCCGUAAGCU
Molecule: ribosomal RNA, 118 nt
Organism: Lates calcarifer (barramundi perch)
Lineage: Eukaryota; Metazoa; Chordata; Actinopteri; Centropomidae
Source: Ensembl